AAUUCUCAAUCCCCUUUGGUUUUGUUACUGGUUGGGGUUUGGAUAGUGGAGGUUGUUGCUGGCCUAGUUUCAAGGUCAGCUCCUCUGAAAUGCAUUAGCGGAACCCAUUUGCAAUCUGCUACAGGUGUGAUAAUUAUCUGCACCUAGGGUUGCUCUGUGUCUUGUUCAGCUACUAACUGUCCACAAGGACAAAUUCAUUAUUGAACCU
Molecule: unclassified non-coding RNA, 208 nt
Filed under: uncultured Agaricaceae
Lineage: Eukaryota; Fungi; Basidiomycota; Agaricomycetes; Agaricales; Agaricaceae
Description: sequence contains ITS2
Source: RNAcentral